AGAAAAGGAUAGAGAACCGGGCCCGCGGUGCGGCACCAACACUGUGCCAAGAACAAGACGACGACGGUGAAGCUCAUCACCAGAGAACCCCAUCGCGGCGGACAUACAGAACCGUGGACCUGUACCUAUAUUUUGUGGGACGGCGUGUUGGUCGUGCGUGAACGAAGCAGCGUGUUUGUGUCCGCAGCACCGCAGCAACAUACAUCCUUGUACAACAUCCUUCCGCCCCUGGUGUAGCGACGAUUAAAAAAAAGUUGGCCGGGUCUGUGCCGUACGGCCGCGUAGUUCGGCAUUCCGCGAGUUGGGUUCAAGGCUUCAACCGAAACGCCCGUGUACAGUUAGUGAUAAAGUGAGCAACAAAAUUAUCAAGUAAAAUAGUGCAUCCACCAACCAACCAACAACCAUUAAAUCCAACACCACCACCACCACCACCAUUUACUACUACUGCUAUCUUGAUCGUACACCUUACGAUUUGCUGUCCCGUUUUUUGAAUCGUUCUGGAACGUUGUGUUCUUUUGUUUUGUUUCUCCUUUCCAUUCGCCGAAAUCCGCAAACGGCAAAAUUAUCCGGCUCCAUUUUUUCGGGAAAUUCGAACCGAAAACCUAUGCGUGAUAUUCUGUAUCACGGCCGCCCCAUCUCUCCUUCACCAGCACCAGUUCCUGGUUUUUUGCGUUCCUGUUGUACAGACCUGUAUAGAAAUUGAAUCGAAAGGCUCGAUUUUAAAGAACAGUCGCAGUUGUCAAACGGAUGAAUGAAGUGAUUGGUUAUUUGUUUGUGCAACAAUUGACUUUUCCCGCAGUGCUGUACUUGUGUUUGGCGUACAUGUGUAGGACUGUAUUCGGUCGGUUCUAUUUGCUGCGAUAAUUUCGUCCAUCAUCAAAAAUCGCAACACGCGUGAGCUGUGCGACAAACGAGGCGUGUGAGGCGAGCGAUUUUUCUCACGCGGUGAGAUCUGCUGUGCUCACCUAACCAUCGUCACCAUCUCUGUUCGCUUCCUCGUUGCUGUGGAAUCAUCCCGCAUACACACACACGUACGACAUCUGUUCGGUGAGGAGCAGGAUUUCUUGGAGUGUGACGAAAUACACUACCUCCCUAUCGUGCGUGAACCUUUGGUGCGUGUGUAUCGUUUGCGAUCGCGGCGUGCAUUUUAAUUUUGUUCUGUUUUCCCUCCCUCCCUCCCUCGCGGGUGGCCGAUCCAGCUCUGGCGCUGCGUCUGGAAGUGUGGCUGUCUUUUCUUGCCGUGUGUAUGUGUGCAGGGUUGCGCAAAUAAUCGUAACCAGGAGCCGCCCAGCGCUCUCUCUCCGGCAAGUGGGAAUUCUGUAGCUGCAGCGCGGUGUAAAUAGUGAUACAGCACACGGAUAGUGUUUCUCGCAUCUUCACGCCACUCUGCGAACCGUAGCCGGUUGUGUUUGUGGAUGCGCCUGUGUAUGUUGUGUAUAUACUUCUUCUGUGCGUGCGUGCGUGUGCGUAUGCGUGCGGCGUUCUUGUUUCGGAAGAGUGAAGCCGUUUUUGUGUAUGUAUGUUUGUGUGUGUGUAUGCGUAUGUGUCUCGUCAGUCUAUUGUGAAACAAUUGUUCCGUCUCUGUCACUGGUGCCCUUGGCCAUCGCGCCUUCACCCAUGCGUUUGUUGACCGCCGACCAACACCGCCUCCGCGCAUAUUCAAAUAAGCCGAUUGCGUACUGUGUGCGUCCAUCCGCGUGCGAUUCAUGCGAUCGCGCAAAUAAUAGUUCUUGAAGCGUACGCGCGUGCUUGUGUGCCACAGGCUACAGCAUACAAGUGUGUACAUUGGUAAUAUAAAAAUAUAAA
Molecule: long non-coding RNA, 1806 nt
Organism: Anopheles merus
Lineage: Eukaryota; Metazoa; Arthropoda; Insecta; Diptera; Culicidae
Exons: 3
Source: RefSeq, a predicted model, not a curated record